This 474-nucleotide ribosomal RNA is filed under the name bacterium. Its description in RNAcentral is "bacterial SSU rRNA". It matches the Rfam family "Bacterial small subunit ribosomal RNA", at positions 157 to 624 of the family's 1533-position model. The record is from RNAcentral.
CGGUAGCUAAUACCGCAUAACGUCGCAAGACCAAAGAGGGGGACCUUAGGGCCUCUUGCCAUCGGAUGUGCCCAGAUGGGAUUAGCUAGUAGGUGGGGUAACGGCUCACCUAGGCGACGAUCCCUAGCUGGUCUGAGAGGAUGACCAGCCACACUGGAACUGAGACACGGUCCAGACUCCUACGGGAGGCAGCAGUGGGGAAUAUUGCACAAUGGGCGCAAGCCUGAUGCAGCCAUGCCGCGUGUAUGAAGAAGGCCUUCGGGUUGUAAAGUACUUUCAGCGGGGAGGAAGGGAGUAAAGUUAAUACCUUUGCUCAUUGACGUUACCCGCAGAAGAAGCACCGGCUAACUCCGUGCCAGCAGCCGCGGUAAUACGGAGGGUGCAAGCGUUAAUCGGAAUUACUGGGCGUAAAGCGCACGCAGGCGGUUUGUCAAGUCAGAAUGUGAAAUCCCCGGGGCUCAACCUGGGAACGCA